Molecule: ribosomal RNA, 427 nt
Filed under: uncultured bacterium
Lineage: Bacteria
Description: partial 16S ribosomal RNA
Rfam family: Bacterial small subunit ribosomal RNA
Source: RNAcentral
UAGGGAAUCUUCCGCAAUGGGCGCAAGCCUGACGGAGCAACGCCGCGUGAGUGAUGAAGGUCUUCGGAUCGUAAAACUCUGUUAUUAGGGAAGAACAAACGUGUAAGUAACUGUGCACGUCUUGACGGUACCUAAUCAGAAAGCCACGGCUAACUACGUGCCAGCAGCCGCGGUAAUACGUAGGUGGCAAGCGUUAUCCGGAAUUAUUGGGCGUAAAGCGCGCGUAGGCGGUUUUUUAAGUCUGAUGUGAAAGCCCACGGCUCAACCGUGGAGGGUCAUUGGAAACUGGAAAACUUGAGUGCAGAAGGGGAAAGUGGAAUUCCAUGUGUAGCGGUGAAAUGCGCAGAGAUAUGGAGGAACACCAGUGGCGAAGGCGACUUUCUGGUCUGUAACUGACGCUGAUGUGCGAAAGCGUGGGGAUCAAACA